UGAGGAAUAUUGGUCAAUGGGCGAGAGCCUGAACCAGCCAAGUAGCGUGCAGGUUGACGGCCCUAUGGGUUGUAAACUGCUCUUAUGUGGGGAUAAAGUGCGUGACGUGUCAUGCAUUGCAGGUACCACAUGAAUAAGGACCGGCUAAUUCCGUGCCAGCAGCCGCGGUAAUACGGAAGGUCCGGGCGUUAUCCGGAUUUAUUGGGUUUAAAGGGAGCGUAGGCUGUCUAUUAAGCGUGUUGUGAAAUUUACCGGCUCAACCGGUGGCUUGCAGCGCGAACUGGUCGACUUGAGUAUGCAGGAAGUAGGCGGAAUUCAUGGUGUAGCGGUGAAAUGCUUAGAUAUCAUGACGAACUCCGAUUGCGCAGGCAGCUUACUGUAGCAUAACUGACGCUGAUGCUCGAAAGUGCGGGUAUCAAACAGG
Molecule: ribosomal RNA, 424 nt
Filed under: Fusobacteriota bacterium
Lineage: Bacteria; Fusobacteriati; Fusobacteriota
Description: Fusobacteria bacterium partial 16S ribosomal RNA
Rfam family: Bacterial small subunit ribosomal RNA
Source: RNAcentral